CAGAUCUCCUUCGGGAGUGACGCUUGUGGAACGAGCGGCGGACGGGUGAGUAACACGUGGGCAACCUACCUGUAAGACUGGGAUAACUCCGGGAAACCGGGGCUAAUACCGGAUGAAACAAAGCGUCGCAUGACGCAAUGUUAAAAGGCGGCAUAUGCUGUCACUUACAGAUGGGCCCGCGGCGCAUUAGCUAGUUGGUGAGGUAAAGGCUCACCAAGGCAACGAUGCGUAGCCGACCUGAGAGGGUGAUCGGCCACACUGGGACUGAGACACGGCCCAGACUCCUACGGGAGGCAGCAGUAGGGAAUCUUCCGCAAUGGACGAAAGUCUGACGGAGCAACGCCGCGUGAGUGAUGAAGGUUUUCGGAUCGUAAAACUCUGUUGUUAGGGAAGAACAAGUGCCAUUCGAAUAGGUUGGCACCUUGACGGUACCUAACCAGAAAGCCCCGGCUAACUACGUGCCAGCAGCCGCGGUAAUACGUAGGGGGCAAGCGUUGUCCGGAAUUAUUGGGCGUAAAGCGCGCGCAGGCGGUCCUUUAAGUCUGAUGUGAAAGCCCACGGCUUAACCGUGGAGGGCCAUUGGAAACUGGAGGACUUGAGUACAGAAGAGGAGAGUGGAAUUCCACGUGUAGCGGUGAAAUGCGUAGAGAUGUGGAGGAACACCAGUGGCGAAGGCGACUCUCUGGUCUGUAACUGACGCUGAGGUGCGAAAGCGUGGGUAGCGAACAGGAUUA
Molecule: ribosomal RNA, 734 nt
Filed under: Virgibacillus sp. CUA-609
Lineage: Bacteria; Bacillati; Bacillota; Bacilli; Caryophanales; Bacillaceae
Description: bacterial SSU rRNA
Rfam family: Bacterial small subunit ribosomal RNA
Source: RNAcentral